RNAcentral lists this ribosomal RNA (357 nucleotides) under uncultured Funneliformis. Its description in RNAcentral is "SSU rRNA". It matches the Rfam family "Eukaryotic small subunit ribosomal RNA", at positions 569 to 929 of the family's 1831-position model. The record is from RNAcentral. Lineage: Eukaryota; Fungi; Glomeromycota; Glomeromycetes; Glomerales; Glomeraceae.
AGCAGCCGCGGUAAUUCCAGCUCCAAUAGCGUAUAUUAAAGUUGUUGCAGUUAAAAAGCUCGUAGUUGAAUUUCGGGAUCAAUAUUUCGGUCAUGCCGUUGGUAUGCACUGUUAUCAUUGAUUUCUCACCUUCUAAAGAACCGUAAUGCCAUUAAUUUGGUGUUACGGGGAAUUAGGACUGUUACCUUGAAAAAAUUAGAGUGUUUAAAGUAGGCUCACGCUUGAAUACAUUAGCAUGGAAUAAUGAAAUAGGACAUCCGAUUCUAUUUUGUUGGUUUCUAGGAUCGAUGUAAUGAUUAAUAGGGAUAGUUGGGGGCAUUAGUAUUCAAUUGUCAGAGGUGAAAUUCUUGGAUUUAU